AUUGAACGCUGGCGGCAUGCUUUACACAUGCAAGUCGAACGGCAGCGCGGGCUUCGGCCUGGCGGCGAGUGGCGAACGGGUGAGUAAUGCAUCGGAACGUGCCCAGUAGUGGGGGAUAGCCCGGCGAAAGCCGGAUUAAUACAGCAUACGACCUGAGGGUGAAAGCGGGGGACCGAAAGGCCUCGCGCUAUUGGAGCGGCCGAUGUCGGAUUAGCUAGUUGGUGGGGUAAAGGCUUACCAAGGCGACGAUCCGUAGCUGGUCUGAGAGGACGACCAGCCACACUGGGACUGAGACACGGCCCAGACUCCUACGGGAGGCAGCAGUGGGGAAUUUUGGACAAUGGGGGCAACCCUGAUCCAGCCAUGCCGCGUGCGGGAAGAAGGCCUUCGGGUUGUAAACCGCUUUUGUUCGGGAAGAAAUCCUCUGGGCUAAUACCCCGGGGGGAUGACGGUACCGGAAGAAUAAGCACCGGCUAACUACGUG
RNAcentral lists this ribosomal RNA (484 nucleotides) under uncultured bacterium. RNAcentral's name for it is "partial 16S ribosomal RNA". It matches the Rfam family "Bacterial small subunit ribosomal RNA", at positions 29 to 507 of the family's 1533-position model. The record is from RNAcentral.